GGGUAUGUGAAUGGCUGCUGGUUCCAGGGGAAUGUUUGCAGGCACACAGAGAGUAUGGUCAUGUGAAAGGGUGAUAAAGGAAGGAAACAUGAGGUUAAUACUGCUCAGGCGGAUUGUAAGCAUUUUAAGACCUGGGAAACUUUUAGUUGUUGACUCGACCAUAAACUCUGCUGGAUAUCAAGGCAAACGUGAAGCCAUCUGUCUGCCGGCUGAAGCUUGACCGACACCGGGUCAUGUCCUGAGGGCUGAAGGCUAAAGGUUUUACCAAGGAAAGGUGGUGGGAGGCAGGAGUAUAUGACAAAUGAUGGCAUUGCCUCCUCUCCAUGCAUGGAGCUGCUGCAGAGCUGCAGAGCUGCAGAGCCCUUUCACUGACAGACUGCUGCAUCCCAGAUGCUCUAAGGAGCGUCUCUGCAGGUCCUUCAUGCCAGCUGCUGUUAACCUUUAUACUCUCUGCUCCUCACAUUAAACUCAAUAACUGUUUACAACAUGCUGCUGGC
Fundulus heteroclitus (mummichog) is the source of this 497-nucleotide long non-coding RNA. RefSeq lists it as uncharacterized. NCBI's taxonomy places the organism in Eukaryota, Metazoa, Chordata, Actinopteri, Cyprinodontiformes, Fundulidae. The record is from RefSeq and is a predicted model, not a curated record. The transcript is spliced from 3 exons.